CUGGCAGUCAGAGGCGAUGAAGGACGUGCUAAUCUGCGAUAAGCGUCGGUGAGGUGAUAUGAACCGUUAUAACCGGCGAUUUCCGAAUGGGGAAACCCAGUGUGUUUCGACACACUAUCAUUAACUGAAUCCAUAGGUUAAUGAGGCGAACCGGGGGAACUGAAACAUCUAAGUACCCCGAGGAAAAGAAAUCAACCGAGAUUCCCCCAGUAGCGGCGAGCGAACGGGGAGGAGCCCAGAGCCUGAAUCAGUGUGUGUGUUAGUGGAAGCGUCUGGAAAGGCGUGCGAUACAGGGUGACAGCCCCGUACACAAAAAUGCACAUAUUGUGAGCUCGAUGAGUAGGGCGGGACACGUGGUAUCCUGUCUGAAUAUGGGGGGACCAUCCUCCAAGGCUAAAUACUCCUGACUGACCGAUAGUGAACCAGUACCGUGAGGGAAAGGCGAAAAGAACCCCGGCGAGGGGAGUGAAAAAGAACCUGAAACCGUGUACGUACAAGCAGUGGGAGCCUCUUAAUGGGGUGACUGCGUACCUUUUGUAUAAUGGGUCAGCGACUUAUAUUCUGUAGCAAGGUUAACCGAAUAGGGGAGCCGAAGGGAAACCGAGUCUUAACUGGGCGUUAAGUUGCAGGGUAUAGACCCGAAACCCGGUGAUCUAGCCAUGGGCAGGUUGAAGGUUGGGUAACACUAACUGGAGGACCGAACCGACUAAUGUUGAAAAAUUAGCGGAUGACUUGUGGCUGGGGGUGAAAGGCCAAUCAAACCGGGAGAUAGCUGGUUCUCCCCGAAAGCUAUUUAGGUAGCGCCUCGUGAAUUCAUCUCCGGGGGUAGAGCACUGUUUCGGCAAGGGGGUCAUCCCGACUUACCAACCCGAUGCAAACUGCGAAUACCGGAGAAUGUUAUCACGGGAGACACACGGCGGGUGCUAACGUCCGUCGUGAAGAGGGAAACAACCCAGACCGCCAGCUAAGGUCCCAAAGUCAUGGUUAAGUGGGAAACGAUGUGGGAAGGCCCAGACAGCCAGGAUGUUGGCUUAGAAGCAGCCAUCAUUUAAAGAAAGCGUAAUAGCUCACUGGUCGAGUCGGCCUGCGCGGAAGAUGUAACGGGGCUAAACCAUGCACCGAAGCUGCGGCAGCGACACUAUGUGUUGUUGGGUAGGGGAGCGUUCUGUAAGCCUGUGAAGGUGGCCUGUGAGGGUUGCUGGAGGUAUCAGAAGUGCGAAUGCUGACAUAAGUAACGAUAAAGCGGGUGAAAAGCCCGCUCGCCGGAAGACCAAGGGUUCCUGUCCAACGUUAAUCGGGGCAGGGUGAGUCGACCCCUAAGGCGAGGCCGAAAGGCGUAGUCGAUGGGAAACAGGUUAAUAUUCCUGUACUUGGUGUUACUGCGAAGGGGGGACGGAGAAGGCUAUGUUGGCCGGGCGACGGUUGUCCCGGUUUAAGCGUGUAGGCUGGUUUUCCAGGCAAAUCCGGAAAACCAAGGCUGAGGCGU
RNAcentral lists this ribosomal RNA (1486 nucleotides) under Escherichia coli. RNAcentral describes it as "partial 23S ribosomal RNA". It matches the Rfam family "Bacterial large subunit ribosomal RNA", at positions 33 to 1564 of the family's 2925-position model. The record is from RNAcentral. Lineage: Bacteria; Pseudomonadati; Pseudomonadota; Gammaproteobacteria; Enterobacterales; Enterobacteriaceae.